Armigeres subalbatus is the source of this 531-nucleotide long non-coding RNA. RefSeq lists it as uncharacterized. Lineage: Eukaryota; Metazoa; Arthropoda; Insecta; Diptera; Culicidae. The record is from RefSeq and is a predicted model, not a curated record. The transcript is spliced from 3 exons.
AGUUCAAUUUUAACGGCAAUUGUUUGAAUCAUUAUAAUAGAAUAAAGCUAACUAAGAAGUAAGAAACCCAAUCAAAAGUCUUUCCGAUUCGAUCAGUGAUUAAAAGCGGACGUGGUCCCAAAAGUUUGUGGAAGUAUAGAAAGUUGAAAAGUGACUGUUAGCUGAUUGAAAAAGUUAUUAAUUAUUCGGAAAAUUAUUUUAAAAAAACGUGGAAAAAUAGUAGGCCCAGUGAGUGGAAACGAAGAUUUCCAAAGUGAGUUGGUAAAUCCGCCAUGAUGAUGAUGUAGUUUAAUUAGGAUUUGUGUCACUUUUCUAGAUCUUAGAAUAGAUUAAAGCUGUCGCCAAACCAGCUAAAUUCAGAAUCUGCUGCUCGAGGCUCAGGAAUCUAAAUCCUUCACGCGAAGGUGUUCCUGCCGGGUUCUAGAACCGGAGGUAGGUGUAGGAGGAUUCGACCAUUCCGGUUCCUCUGGGUGAAUCCAGAAGCCUUGGCGGUUUGUAGGCUUUAAGCCUCAUCGUCAGGCCAGUGGUUCA